Ochotona curzoniae (black-lipped pika) is the source of this 415-nucleotide long non-coding RNA. RefSeq lists it as uncharacterized. The record is from RefSeq and is a predicted model, not a curated record. Lineage: Eukaryota; Metazoa; Chordata; Mammalia; Lagomorpha; Ochotonidae. The transcript has 3 exons.
AAUGCACUCUAGUUUAAAAAGCCCAAGGCAACACAUGGACUAGAAUACAAGAUGAAGGUUUAUUAACCACUGUCAUUUUAAUAAUCCUUGCAUCCCAUUUCUGCAAGAUUCACCUUCUCCAACAAACCAGAUGUAUCAUCUGUUGAAAAGACAACAGUUUUAAAAAAGUAUUCAGCCUUGCAGUGCCUCUGUGAUUAAGUUAACAGCUGUUGUUUGAAGUCUAUACCUAGGGAAUUUAUCACUUCAGUUUUCAAAGAACUGUGGUGAGCCUAAAUCCUCUGCUUCUCAGAAAGGACUGGACCACAGAUCACCCUGACCCUGAAGCUACAUCUUCAUCAGCUCCCAGACUACAGCUCAAGCACCCUGCUCACCAGGAGUUAACAAUCAGUAAAGCAAUAUUGCACUAUCUUUAAAA